This 253-nucleotide ribosomal RNA is filed under the name uncultured bacterium. Its description in RNAcentral is "partial 16S ribosomal RNA". It matches the Rfam family "Bacterial small subunit ribosomal RNA", at positions 524 to 776 of the family's 1533-position model. The record is from RNAcentral.
UACGUAGGGUGCGAGCGUUGUCCGGAAUUAUUGGGCGUAAAGGGCUCGUAGGCGGUUUGUCGCGUCGGGAGUGAAAACUCAGGGCUUAACCCUGAGCCUGCUUCCGAUACGGGCAGACUAGAGGUAUGCAGGGGAGAACGGAAUUCCUGGUGUAGCGGUGAAAUGCGCAGAUAUCAGGAGGAACACCGGUGGCGAAGGCGAGUCCCUGGACAAAACCUGACACUGAGGCACGAAAGCUAGGGGAGCAAACAGG